This 509-nucleotide ribosomal RNA is filed under the name uncultured bacterium. Its description in RNAcentral is "bacterial SSU rRNA". It matches the Rfam family "Bacterial small subunit ribosomal RNA", at positions 791 to 1304 of the family's 1533-position model. The record is from RNAcentral.
UAGUCCACGCCCUAAACGAUGCUAACUCGAUGUUUGGGUCUUGUACUUGAGCAUCCUAGGGAAACCGUUAAGUUAGCCACCUGGGGAGUACGUUCGCAAGAAUGAAACUCAAAGGAAUUGACGGGGGCCCGCACAAGCGGUGGAGCAUGUGGUUUAAUUCGAUGAUACGCGAGGUAACCUUACCAGGGCUUAAAUGUAAGUUGCAUUAAUCGGAGAUGGUUAUUUCUUCGGACCACUUACAAGGUGCUGCAUGGUUGUCGUCAGCUCGUGCCGUGAGGUGUCAGGUUAAGUCCUAUAACGAGCGCAACCCCUGUGGUUAGUUGCCAGCGAGUCAUGUCGGGAACUCUAGCCAGACUGCCGGUGCAAACCGCGAGGAAGGUGGGGAUGACGUCAAAUCAUCACGGCCCUUACGUCCUGGGCUACACACGUACUACAAUGGUAGGUACAGAGAGCAGCCACUUGGUGACAAGGAGCGAAUCUAUAAAGCCUAUCUCAGUUCGGAUCGGAGU